Long non-coding RNA from Cyprinus carpio carpio, 1053 nucleotides. NCBI's taxonomy places the organism in Eukaryota, Metazoa, Chordata, Actinopteri, Cypriniformes, Cyprinidae. The record is from Ensembl.
UGGAACCUGAUGAACAACUUUAAAACUUUGGGUUUGAUUCCCAGUGAAUGCAUGAACUGAACAAACCUUAAAUGCAAUGCAAGUUGCUUUGAAUUAAAUGUCAAAUAUUAAUGCAUAGAGGUCAUUUAGAUACAGAACUCUUAAAUGGUACAUUGUUAGUCUCUUUCACAAGAGUCAACACAUCGUGAUCUCUCAGCACAUAUUGGAAGAGAUUGUAAAAUGCCUUAAGGCUCAGAGAGAAUGGAAAUGGUAACUAAAAACUGAAACUGGCCUUUUACAGUGGACUGAUAUUACAAAGGGACGUCAUUAAUAACACUACAGAACUGUUAAAGUGAUCAGUUUGGCCCCUUUAAUGCAGUUUUUAAAUCUCAGAUUGGUGUUCAUGUUUUUUAUUUUUAAUUCUAAAAUCACAUAUAUUCUACAGCACGGAUGAAGAUCUGUGGUUUGAUUGGUGCUGUGGCCUGGUGGUGAUCAGAUGAGCCUCAUUUGCAUUGCUAAACAGCAUACAGGUGAAUGUCAGUAACGAUCCUUGAUUACCGCAGCCAUGCUGACCUUUCACCACCAACAAAAUAUGUGCUGCACGAUCAGAGUGCAUCGUGUGAGACUGACUGUGCUGAUGUCCCUGAAGGUCAAACACUUAACCUCGCCGUCGCUGAAGUGUGGAACUGUGCAAAUGAAAUCGAAGAGUUUGAGGAGUUAGAACAUUCACAAGCUCAGAUGAGAGCACUCAUCACUGAGUAGUGUUCAAGACAAGGAGAUGAACCUUCAAUGUCCUUCACCGAUCAUCAUUUCAAGUGUGGUCUGACGUGACCGAAAGAUCAUAUCUGAGCGGAUUCAGAGCCUGAAGGGGUCGAACACUUAUAAGAGAAGAAACACAUGUUCAUUCACAGAGGAAGAGCUGCAGCGUGAUCCGCUGACGUUUGAAGAAUGAUCGUCCACGUAUCUGUCGAGUAAAACCUGGAGAAGUCCUUUAAAACUGACUGCACCAUUAUUAUCAUCAUCAAUCAUCAAAUCUGUUUGAAAUGUAUUUUUGAAUGUUCUCUGAACCAUCGG